GAGGGACUUUGCAGAGCCUCCCUGGGUCAUGCUGGGUGGCUGAGCCUUGUCCCUCUGCAGGCUUCGGCAGAGACUGGAUAUUGGCAUGCCAAGCAGAGGUCCCCCACACCUCCUGAAGAAGAGAGGCCAGAGAGUCCUGUUGAAGCCUCUGAGUCUCCCCACCUGCAUUCUGGGGAACCCAUGCAGACCAUGGCCACUGCAUCUACACGCCACCUUGGGGCCAUAAGCCUGCAGCCAGGAAUAGCAGCUGUGACCAUGCUCCCCCCACAUCCACUGAUGCCGGUGACUCCUGCUGGUAAGAUCCCAAGUCCUGCUACAUGCAAGCCUAUGAGCCCAGCUUCUCAGUGAAGGCAUA
This 355-nucleotide long non-coding RNA is filed under the name Fukomys damarensis (Damara mole-rat). Its description in RNAcentral is "lncRNA (ENSFDAG00000031793.1)". The record is from RNAcentral. Lineage: Eukaryota; Metazoa; Chordata; Mammalia; Rodentia; Bathyergidae.